Molecule: non-coding RNA, 74 nt
Organism: Octopus sinensis (East Asian common octopus)
Lineage: Eukaryota; Metazoa; Mollusca; Cephalopoda; Octopoda; Octopodidae
Source: the annotation of a RefSeq genome assembly
GCCCGCAUAGCUCAGUCGGUAGAGCAUCAGACUUUUAAUCUGAGGGUCGUGGGUUUCAAGUCCCCCUGCGGGCA